AGAGUUUGAUCAUGGCUCAGGAUGAACGCUGGCGGCGUGCCUAACACAUGCAAGUCGAGCGAUUUACUUCGGUAAAGAGCGGCGGACGGGUGAGUAACGCGUGGGUAACCUGCCUCAUACACAUGGAUAACAUACCGAAAGGUAUGCUAAUACAAGAUGAUAUAAGAGAUUCGCAUGGAUUUCUUAUCAAAGCUUUUGCGGUAUGAGAUGGACCCGCGUCUGAUUAGCUAGUUGGUAAGGUAACGGCUUACCAAGGCGACGAUCAGUAGCCGACCUGAGAGGGUGAUCGGCCACAUUGGAACUGAGACACGGUCCAAACUCCUACGGGAGGCAGCAGUGGGGAAUAUUGCACAAUGGGCGAAAGCCUGAUGCAGCAACGCCGCGUGAGCGAUGAAGGCCUUCGGGUCGUAAAGCUCUGUCCUCAAGGAAGAUAAUGACGGUACUUGAGGAGGAAGCCCCGGCUAACUACGUGCCAGCAGCCGCGGUAAUACGUAGGGGGCUAGCGUUAUCCGGAUUUACUGGGCGUAAAGGGUGCGUAGGUGGUUUCUUAAGUCAGGAGUGAAAGGCUACGGCUCAACCGUAGUAAGCUCUUGAAACUGGGAAACUUGAGUGCAGGAGAGGAAAGUGGAAUUCCUAGUGUAGCGGUGAAAUGCGUAGAUAUUAGGAGGAACACCAGUAGCGAAGGCGGCUUUCUGGACUGUAACUGGCACUGAGGCACGAAAGCGUGGGGAGCAAACAGGAUUAGAUACCCUGGUAGUCCACGCCGUAAACGAUGAGUAU
This 780-nucleotide ribosomal RNA is filed under the name uncultured bacterium. Its description in RNAcentral is "bacterial SSU rRNA". It matches the Rfam family "Bacterial small subunit ribosomal RNA", at positions 8 to 816 of the family's 1533-position model. The record is from RNAcentral.